GGUGGUUCUCGGGUGAUGCAACCUGAAAUCAGGCUCCCUCCUCUCUGGUUCCAGGUGUGUAACCCAAGAACUGCA
This is a non-coding RNA of Myotis davidii, 75 nucleotides long. Lineage: Eukaryota; Metazoa; Chordata; Mammalia; Chiroptera; Vespertilionidae. The record is from Rfam.